This 200-nucleotide ribosomal RNA is filed under the name uncultured bacterium. Its description in RNAcentral is "partial 16S ribosomal RNA". It matches the Rfam family "Bacterial small subunit ribosomal RNA", at positions 8 to 111 of the family's 1533-position model. The record is from RNAcentral.
AGAGUUUGAUCCUGGCUCAGGACGAACGCUGGCGGCGUGCCUAACACAUGCAAGUCGAACGGGGUAACGCUCAACACUGAAUGUUCAGUGACGAGCCGACAGCGCAUACGAUUGCGAAGCAAUCGUUACGCAAAAUAAAGUGCCAACACGAAACAUUGAAUGUUGAGUGUUGUGCGUUACCUAGUGGCGAACGGGUGAGU